This 255-nucleotide ribosomal RNA is filed under the name uncultured bacterium. Its description in RNAcentral is "partial 16S ribosomal RNA". It matches the Rfam family "Bacterial small subunit ribosomal RNA", at positions 524 to 776 of the family's 1533-position model. The record is from RNAcentral.
UACGUAGGGUGCAAGCGUUAAUCGGAAUUACUGGGCGUAAAGCGUGCGCAGGCGGUUAGCCGUGUCCGAUGUGAAAGCCCCGGGCUCAACCUGGGAAUGGCAUUGGAAACUGGCUGGCUGGAGUGUGGCAGAGGGGGGUGGAAUUCCACGUGUAGCAGUGAAAUGCGUAGAGAUGAUGGAGGAACACCGAUGGCGAAGGCAGCCCCCCUGGGCCAACACUGACGCUCAGGCACGAAAGCGUGGGGAGCAAACAGG